UACGGAGGGGGCAAGCGUUAUUCGGAAUUAUUGGGCGUAAAGGGCGCGUAGGCGGCUAGAUGUGUCAAAGGUGAAAUCCCUCGGCUCAACUGAGGAACUGCCUUUGAAACUGUCUGGCUUGAGGCCGGGAGAGGGUAGCGGAAUUCCCAGUGUAGCGGUGAAAUGCGCAGAUAUCAGGAGGAACACCGAUGGCGAAGGCAGCUCGCUGGAACGGUACUGACGCUGAGGCGCGAAAGCGUGGGGAGCGAACAGG
RNAcentral lists this ribosomal RNA (253 nucleotides) under uncultured bacterium. RNAcentral's name for it is "partial 16S ribosomal RNA". It matches the Rfam family "Bacterial small subunit ribosomal RNA", at positions 524 to 776 of the family's 1533-position model. The record is from RNAcentral.